GGGGGCUAACUGCAGUCGAGCGGACGAUGGGAGCUUGCUCCCUGAUGUUAGCGGCGGACGGGUGAGUAACACGUGGGUAACCUGCCUGUAAGACUGGGAUAACUCCGGGAAACCGGGGCUAAUACCGGAUGGUUGUUUGAACCGCAUGGUUCAAACAUAAAAGGUGGCUUCUGCUACCACUUACAGAUGGACCCGCGGCGCAUUAGCUAGUUGGUGAGGUAACGGCUCACCAAGGCAACGAUGCGUAGCCAACCUGAGAGGGUGAUCGGCCACACUGAGACUGAGACACGACCCAUACUCCUACGGGAGGCAGCAAAAAGGAAUCUUCCGCAAUGGACGAAAGUCUGACGGAGCAACGCCGCGUGAGUGAUGAAGGUUUUCGGAUCGUAAAGCUCUGUUGUUAGGGAAGAACAAGUACCGUUCGAAUAGGGCGGUACCUUGACGGUACCUAACCAGAAAGCCACGGCUAACUACGUGCCAGCAGCCGCGGUAAUACGUAGGUGGCAAGCGUUGUCCGGAAUUAUUGGGCGUAAAGGGCUCGCAUGCGGUUUCUUAAGUCUGAUGUGAAAGCCCCCGGCUCAACCGGGGAGGGUCAUUGGAAACUGGGGAACUUGAGUGCAGAAGAGGAGAGUGGAAUUCCACGUGUAGCGGUGAAAUGCGUAGAGAUGUGGAGGAACACCAGUGGCGAAGGCGACUCUCUGGUCUGUAACUGACGCUGAGGAGCGAAAGCGUGGGGAGCGAACAGGAUUAGAUACCCUGGUAGUUCACGCCGUAAACGAUGAGUGCUAAGUGUUAGGGGGUUUCCGCCCCUUAGUGCUGCAGCUAACGCAUUAAGCACUCCGCCUGGGGAGUACGGUCGCAAGACUGAAACUCAAAGGAAUUGACGGGGGCCCGCACAAGCGGUGGAGCAUGUGGUUUAAUUCGAAGCAACGCGAAGAACCUUACCAGGUCUUGACAUCCUCUGACAAUCCUAGAGAUAGGACGUCCCCUU
This 991-nucleotide ribosomal RNA is filed under the name Bacillus sp. (in: firmicutes). Its description in RNAcentral is "bacterial SSU rRNA". It matches the Rfam family "Bacterial small subunit ribosomal RNA", at positions 42 to 1020 of the family's 1533-position model. The record is from RNAcentral. Lineage: Bacteria; Bacillati; Bacillota; Bacilli; Caryophanales; Bacillaceae.